This 2609-nucleotide long non-coding RNA is filed under the name Salmo salar (Atlantic salmon). RNAcentral describes it as "lncRNA (ENSSSAG00000102986.1)". The record is from RNAcentral. Lineage: Eukaryota; Metazoa; Chordata; Actinopteri; Salmoniformes; Salmonidae.
CCACUUAAACUCAACAUUUUCCCGGGGCAGCGAACACUGAAUGACCUGCUCAAAACCAACAGCAAGGUCCGCUAUGAGGGAGUCGAAAACAAAACAACAAAAUGCACGUGGUAGAAACAAACUAACUUCUGAUCAUUCUGGAUGCAAAUGGAGCAGUGUCAUGGUGUCGUCUGUCAUUAGUUAGAGAAACGAUUCUUGCUGUUUUAAUCUGUCUGAAAUGUCCCGCUCAUCUGUCGCGUUAUAGUUGGAAACAACAUUUGUCGCUCCCGGUACUCGAUUGCAACAGCACACUGCCUGCUGUUAAAUAGUACGUAAUCCUCCAGCUCAUGCAUUAUGUUUCUCCACAUAACCUCCUGUGGAGGAGUCAACAGAAAGUCCAGCAGAGAAUUCCGGACAGAGAAAAGGAGCUGAAGGAUCUCAAAUAAACUAUAGCAUCUCUUAUUUAACCUUUAUUUAACUAGGCAAGUCAGUUAGGAACAAAUUCUUAUUUAUAAUGACAGCCUACCCCGGACAAACCCGGACGACGCUGGUCUAAUUGUGAGUAUUGAUAUACUCUCGCUACGUCUAACAACCUUUUAAUAGAAUAUAGGAUAUUGUGUGCCUACAACAACCAGAAGCAUCCGUCAACCCCUUGUCUUUUUUUUUUUAGCCUUGGUUUUAAUUUCUGUCCUAACAGCGGACUGCACACGCAUCAGUAAAGGUCAGUGAUAUGAUCUUUACUGAGAAAAUGAACCACAUUGAGAGAAGGCGCUCUGAUGUGAAGGUGGGUGCUCUGAUGUGAAAGUAGGUGCUCUGAUGUGAAGGUAGGUGCUCUGAUGUGAAGGUGGUGCUCUGAGGUGAAGGUAGGUGCUCUGAUGUGAAGGUAGGUGCUCUGAGGUGAAGGUAGGUGCUCUGAUGUGAAGUUAGGUGCUCUGAUGUGAAGGUAGGUGCUCUGAUGUGAAGGUAGGUGCUCUGAUGUGAAGGUGGUGCUCUGAGGUGAAGGUAGGUGCUCUGAUGUGAAGGUAGGUGCUCUGAGGUGAAGGUAGGUGCUCUGAGGUGAAGGUAGGUGCUCUGAUGUGAAGGUAGGUGCUCUGAUGUGAAGGUGGGUGCUCUGAUGUGAAGGUAGGUGCUCUGAUGUGAAGGUAGGUGCUCUGAUGUGAAGCUAGGUGCUCUGAUGUGAAGGUAGGUGCUCUGAUGUGAAGGUAGGUGCUCUGAGGUGAAGGUAGGUGCUCUCGGGUGAAGGUAGGUGCUCUGAUGUGAAGGUGGGUGCUCCGAGGUGAAGGUGGGUGCUCCGAGGUGAAGGAGGGUGCUCUGAGGUGAAGGUAGGUGCUCUGAUGUGAAGCUAGGUGCUCUGAGGUGAAGGUGGGUGCUCUGAGGUGAAGGUAGGUGCUCUGAGGUGAAGGAAGGUGCUCUGAGGUGAAGGUAGGUGCUCUGAUGUGAAGGUAGGUGCUCUGAUGUGAAAGUGGGUGCUCUGAGGUGAAAGUGGGUGCUCUGAGGUGAAGGUGGGUGCUCUGAGGUGAAGGUAGGUGCUCUGAGGUGAAGGAAGGUGCUCUGAGGUGAAGGUAGGUGCUCUGAUGUGAAGGUAGGUGCUCUGAUGUGAAAGUGGGUGCUCUGAGGUGAAAGUGGGUGCUCUGAGGUGAAAGUGGGUGCUCUGAGGUGAAGGUGGGUGCUCUGAGGUGAAGGUGGGUGCUCUGAGGUGAAGGUGGGUGCUCUGAGGUGAAGGUAGGUGCUCUGACGUGAAAGUAGGUGCUCUGAGGUGAAGGUAGGUGCUCUGAGGUGAAGGUAGGUGCUCUGAGGUGAAUAAGGUAGGUGCUCUGAGGUGAAUAAGGUAGGUGCUCUGAGGUGAAUAAGGUAGGUGCUCUGAGGUGAAUAAGGUAGGUGCUCUGAGGUGAAUAAGGUAGGUGCUCUGAGGUGAAUAAGGUAGGUGCUCUGAUGUGAAUAAGGUAGGUGCUCUGAUGUGAAUAAGGUGGGUGCUCUGAUGUGAAGCUGGGUGCUCUGAUUUGAAGGUGGGUGCUCUGAUGUGAAGGUAGGUGCUCUGAGGUGAAGAUGGGUGCUCUGAGGUGAAGGUGGGUGCUCUGAUGUGAAGCUGGGUGCUCUGAUGUGAAGGUGGGUGCUCUGAGGUGAAGGUGGGGCUCUGAGGUGAAGGUGGGUGCUCUGAGGUGAAAGUAGGUACUCUGAGGUGAAGGUAGGUGCUCUGAUGUGAAGGUAGGUGCUCUGAUGUGAAGGUAGGUGCUCUGAUGUGAAGGUGUGUGCUCUGAUGUGAGGCUAGGUGCUCUGAUGUGAAGGUGGGUGAUCUGAUGUGAAGGUAGGUGCUCUGAGGUGAAGGUAGGUGCUCUGAGGUGAAGGUAGGUGCUCUGAUGUGAAGGUAGGUGCUCUGAGGUGAAGGUAGGUGCUCUGAGGUGAAAGUGGGUGCUCUGAGGUGAAGGUGGGUGCUCUGAGGUGAAGGUGGGUGCUCUGAGGUGAAGGUAGGUACUCUGAGGUGAAGGUAGGUGCUCUGAUGUGAAUAAGGUAGGUACUCUGAUGUGAAGGCAGGUGCUCUGAGGUGAAGGUAGGUGCUCUGAUGUGAAGAAGGUAGGUGCUCUGAGGUGAAGGUGGGUGCUCUGAGGUGAAGGUGGGUGCUCUGAGGUGAA